GAUGAACGCUGGCGGCGUGCCUAAUACAUGCAAGUCGAGCGAACAGACGAGGAGCUUGCUCCUCUGACGUUAGCGGCGGACGGGUGAGUAACACGUGGAUAACCUACCUAUAAGACUGGGAUAACUUCGGGAAACCGGAGCUAAUACCGGAUAAGAUAUUGAACCGCAUGGUUCAAUAGUGAAAGACGGUUUUGCUGUCACUUAUAGAGGGAUCCGCGCCGCAUUAGCUAGUUGGUAAGGUAACGGCUUACCAAGGCAACGAUGCGUAGCCGACCUGAGAGGGUGAUCGGCCACACUGGAACUGAGACACGGUCCAGACUCCUACGGGAGGCAGCAGUGGGGAAUAUUCCGCAAUGGGCGAAAGCCUGACGGAGCAACGCCGCGUGAGUGAUGAAGGUCUUCGGAUCGUAAAACUCUGUUAUUAGGGAAGAACAAAUGUGUAAGUAACUAUGCACGUCUUGACGGUACCUAAUCAGAAAGCCACGGCUAACUACGUG
RNAcentral lists this ribosomal RNA (497 nucleotides) under uncultured bacterium. RNAcentral describes it as "partial 16S ribosomal RNA". It matches the Rfam family "Bacterial small subunit ribosomal RNA", at positions 28 to 507 of the family's 1533-position model. The record is from RNAcentral.